UGUGCUCCAAAUGCAUGAAGCAAAUUUAAAGAAAUGGCAGUGAAUCAGCCUUUCAGUUUGGCAAAAACCUCAUGCAUCUUGGAUAAGUGGCAUCCUAUGAAGAUGUGAACAAUGAAAUAAUAAGGACUCUCAGGGCUGAAGAAGUCGGAAAAGCGUGCUCAGAAGAGUCCCAAGAUUGAAGUGAUACACUGUACAAAAGAACAUAUAGCAGAAAGUUCAUGCUUCACUCAUUAAAUUGAAAAAGAGAAGGAGGAGGAGGAAAAGCAGAAGGUAAAGAAAAAAGAAAAGGACAAGGAGGAAGAGGAUUUGAGGGAUAAGAAGAGGAAGAAGAUAAACCACAUUACUACCAAUUUGAAGAAAAAUACUGACUACAACCAGCAUUUAAGACCCCAGGAAACGUCACUGUUUUUUCUUCAGAGAGCAUAGGAUUUGGAUCUACCAAAGCAGCAUGGAUUAAUAUCUUGAUAUAUACAUUUAAUGGAAUAUAUGAAGGUAUAAAGUCAGCCCACAUGAUAAUAGUUAAGUAGUUGUUGCCCAGUUGAAAUCUUCAACAAUACUUUGACUCACCUUUUUUUUUUUUAAAUAGAAUUUAAAAGCACAAAAAAACUCUUAAGCUUAUUCAAUAUUAUUUCAACUUUAUUUCAUUUACUAAAGUCCCUUGACCGACAAUUUGGAAAUUUUAAGAAAAUUGUUUUCCAAACGUUAAAAUGUAAACGGUAAUUUUUCCCAGUACAUGACGAUAACACAUCAUUAGAAUUCACACAUUGGUUUAGAAUUUAAUGACUUAACUUUAAUGAUAUGGGCUGAUCUAGUGGCUAAAGUUGGCGUCCUUUAUUUAAAGGUGAUUAUUGAAAGAACUGAAGAUUCUGGAUAUUUGUUUUCAGGAUGGGCUGCAGGCAUUUUGUAGAGCCAUACGCAUUGAAAUGGAAAUAUGAGCUGGAAUUAAAUAUUAGUAAAUGAAUAUUUACUGAAAUGGAAUGUUAGUAAAAUCCAACUUUACUUUCAUUUAGAGCCGAGUUUCAAAGACAAAAGGAAAUUUGUAAAUGGUGCUGUAAAUAAAUUUCUACACAAUUUGUCAUAGCAAAAAGAUAGGAAUAAUAAGAUCUUAUGAAACUGAAUAACAUUAGCAUUAUUGUCAACUGUUAGGUCUAUGGAUGAAAGUGCAAAAUGACAGAUAAAGAUAACAAAAAGCCUAAUUAAAUCAAGUGUUAAUUCAUGUGUUGUGGGUGGUUUCCUUCUCGUGACCUAUAAUUGUAUUGAAAGAUGGUGAUUUAUAAAUGCAAAUCUCCAUUGUUUUCAAAACCCCUUUAGACAAUGUCUUGAUUUGUUUUGUCUUCUCUGCCCCUCCCUUCUUCACCCAACAUGCACACAUGCUAGCACACUCACUCACUCACAAGUACCUACACAUAUGCACACACGGAAUCUUACAACCAGCCAGGGUGCAGCCAACAUAUCCGUCUUAUCACAUAUCCUUCAUUUCUGCAUUGGUAUCAGAAAUGAAGCUUCACUAAGAACAGAUGAGAAAAUUCAAAUUAAAAAAAAAAAGAGAGACAAAACAACAAAUAACAAAUACAAAGGUUAUAGAUGUUAAAAGUAGUUUAGCAAAGUAUAUUUCCCUAUCCCCUUUUUUAAACUCUUACAUUUUUUGUUGCGACUAUAUUUAUUGCUAGAAAUAAAUAUUCUGUUAUAUCUCAAUUAUAUCUCAAUAAAGCUGGUAUACAAAGAAAUAAAGAUUCUA
This is a long non-coding RNA of Leopardus geoffroyi (Geoffroy's cat), 1738 nucleotides long. RefSeq lists it as uncharacterized. The transcript has 4 exons. NCBI's taxonomy places the organism in Eukaryota, Metazoa, Chordata, Mammalia, Carnivora, Felidae. The record is from RefSeq and is a predicted model, not a curated record.